ACUCAAAGGAAUAGACGGGGGCCCGCACAAGCAGCGGAGCAUGUUGCUUAAUUCGAUGCAACGCGAAGAACCUUACCUGGGUUUGACAUGGUGGGAAAAGCCGUAGAGAUACGGUGUCCUUCGGGGCCCAUCACAGGUGGUGCAUGGCUGUCGUCAGCUCGUGUCGUGAGAUGUUGGGUUAAGUCCCGCAACGAGCGCAACCCUUGUCCUAUGUUGCCAGCGGGUAAUGCCGGGGACUCGUAGGAGACUGCCGGGGUCAACUCGGAGGAAGGUGGGGACGACGUCAAGUCAUCAUGCCCCUUAUGUCCAGGGCUGCAAACAUGCUACAAUGGCCGGUACAAAGGGCUGCUAGCCCGCGAGGGUGAGCGAAUCCCAUAAAGCCGGUCUCAGUUCGGAUUGGAGUCUGCAACUCGACUCCAUGAAGCCGGAGUUGCUAGUAAUCCCGGAUCAGCACUGCCGGGGUGAAUACGUUCCCGGGCCUUGUACACACCGCCCGU
RNAcentral lists this ribosomal RNA (497 nucleotides) under uncultured bacterium. RNAcentral describes it as "partial 16S ribosomal RNA". It matches the Rfam family "Bacterial small subunit ribosomal RNA", at positions 899 to 1397 of the family's 1533-position model. The record is from RNAcentral.